GUCCUUUUAGUCUAAAGGCCAGGAUAUUGUUUUUAACAAAGGUACGGGUUCAAGUCCCGUAAAGGACU
Molecule: transfer RNA, 68 nt
Filed under: Analipus japonicus
Lineage: Eukaryota; Phaeophyceae; Ralfsiales; Ralfsiaceae
Description: tRNA-Lys
Rfam family: tRNA
About the family: Transfer RNA (tRNA) molecules are approximately 80 nucleotides in length. Their secondary structure includes four short double-helical elements and three loops (D, anti-codon, and T loops). Further hydrogen bonds mediate the characteristic L-shaped molecular structure. tRNAs have two regions of fundamental functional importance: the anti-codon, which is responsible for specific mRNA codon recognition, and the 3' end, to which the tRNAs corresponding amino acid is attached (by aminoacyl-tRNA synthetases). tRNAs cope with the degeneracy of the genetic code in two manners: having more than one tRNA (with a specific anti-codon) for a particular amino acid; and 'wobble' base-pairing, i.e. permitting non-standard base-pairing at the 3rd anti-codon position.
Source: RNAcentral